Molecule: long non-coding RNA, 1264 nt
Organism: Schistocerca americana (American grasshopper)
Lineage: Eukaryota; Metazoa; Arthropoda; Insecta; Orthoptera; Acrididae
Exons: 4
Source: RefSeq, a predicted model, not a curated record
UGUGGACACGUGGGCCGCAUGGCUGAUUCUCCGGCAGACGACGCAAGCACAGGAAGACCGUCACGAAGGGCUCUGACGACACGCUGUGCCUUACUCGUAUUCGUGGUCAUAGGUAGCCUGUUGUUCGUUGGAGGAAUGUUUUUCAAGUUCGUCUCUAGCUCCACAGAUGACAGAAACUUCAGCAUGCAGAGGCACAGCAACACUCGUGUCUGAUAGUAUUACUUGAUAGACAUCUCACCAUCUGGUGAUUAAUACAGAUGAGCAGCAAGACCGCACAGCGUCUGUGUUGGCGAGAGUGGCGUGGCUUCAGCUGCCGCACGGAUACGAUGCCAGGAGUCGCCAUCGCUACGCGGACAACGGCUGCCGCCAUCUUCUGCCCAUGUUCAUCUCCCGGCAGCAGUUUCCCUGCAAUGAGUGCAUGUGCGUCCAACACCAAAACCAUCCUGUAUUCAGUGUGACGUUCCUAACCUUAAUACAGUGAGAAUCGCAGACGGCACCACAAGACUCGCAAUGGCUCAUGUUUCACCUCUGUAGGCAAUGUACUCGCUUAGGAUUCGAUGUGAAGAUAUUUAAAUUCUUGAGCAGUUUGCGGCAGUGCCAGCUGCUCGUCAACGAAGAACAUAUCUUGCAGAUCAGAGCAAAACCGUUAACGAAAAAUAAUUCUGUAUCGAAUUCCGUCUUGUGAAGGCAAAAGCAGUUUUGAUUGAAUAUUUUCGGAAGCACUGACUCUGUUGGAACAACAAUGUUGUUAAGCCAUGGAAGGCAUCGUGUAUAAAAUGAGACCUGUUAACAGUACUAAUGCUCAGAGGAACUAUGUUCUUAUGUAAAAAAUUCCUUACUUUAUACUUUAUUGUAUUUAUACUUCAUCCUUAUGUUAUUUAUUGUUAUUAAUUUUAAAUUUAAUCGCCUAAGCGUUUUCAUGUAAGAUUUGAGUAUUAAGUAUUUUCUUGAGUAAUUUAAGGUACGCAUUAGUAUUUUAUAUAGUUACUCCUCGAUGUCUGUGUUCUACAAUAUCUCUUUCCCAAAACUGUCAUCCAAUGGGUCUGCGUCUACAUUUAUUCUGUUCAAACCAAUAUAAAGUGCAUGUUAGAGGGUACAUGCCAUUGUGCCACUUUUUAGGAUCAUAUCUCAUUCCAUUUGUGAAUGGAGUGCAGGAUCAGUAACUGCUUAAGGGGCUCCGGAACGCCCUAUACUUGCAAUGUUAAAAUAACGCUUAUAAAUUACAUCUUUCCUCACAAAGUAUUUGAGGUAGGAAGUUGAAAUU